Molecule: unclassified non-coding RNA, 335 nt
Filed under: soil metagenome
Description: partial contains 5.8S ribosomal RNA, internal transcribed spacer 2, and large subunit ribosomal RNA
Rfam family: 5.8S ribosomal RNA (bases 1-120)
Source: RNAcentral
GAUGAAGAACGUAGUGAAAUGCGAUAAGUAAUGUGAAUUGCAGAAUUCAGUGAAUCAUCGAAUCUUUGAACGCACAUUGCGCCCAUUAGCAUUCUAGUGGGCAUGCCUGUUCGAGCGUCAUUUCAACCCUUAAGCCCUGUUGCUUAGCGUUGGGAGCCUACAGUACUGUAGCUCCCCAAAGUUAGUGGCGGAGUCGGUUUCACACUCUAGACGUAGUAAUUUUUUCUCGUCUGUAGUUGAGCCGGUCCCCUGCCGUAAAACACCCAAUUUAUCAAGGUUGACCUCGGAUCAGGUAGGAAUACCCGCUGAACUUAAGCAUAUCAAUAAGCGGAGGA